Molecule: ribosomal RNA, 1447 nt
Filed under: Klebsiella pneumoniae
Lineage: Bacteria; Pseudomonadati; Pseudomonadota; Gammaproteobacteria; Enterobacterales; Enterobacteriaceae
Description: partial 23S ribosomal RNA
Rfam family: Bacterial large subunit ribosomal RNA
Source: RNAcentral
CACUAUCGUUAACUGAAUACAUAGGUUAACGAGGCGAACCGGGGGAACUGAAACAUCUAAGUACCCCGAGGAAAAGAAAUCAACCGAGAUUCCCCCAGUAGCGGCGAGCGAACGGGGAGCAGCCCAGAGUCUGAAUCAGCUUGUGUGUUAGUGGAACGGUCUGGAAAGUCCGACGGUACAGGGUGAUAGUCCCGUACACCAAAAUGCACAGGCUGUGAACUCGAAGAGUAGGGCGGGACACGUGGUAUCCUGUCUGAAUAUGGGGGGACCAUCCUCCAAGGCUAAAUACUCCUGACUGACCGAUAGUGAACCAGUACCGUGAGGGAAAGGCGAAAAGAACCCCGGCGAGGGGAGUGAAAAAGAACCUGAAACCGUGUACGUACAAGCAGUGGGAGCACCUUCGGGUGUGACUGCGUACCUUUUGUAUAAUGGGUCAGCGACUUAUAUUCUGUAGCAAGGUUAACCGUAUAGGGGAGCCGCAGGGAAACCGAGUCUUAACUGGGCGUUAAGUUGCAGGGUAUAGACCCGAAACCCGGUGAUCUAGCCAUGGGCAGGUUGAAGGUUGGGUAACACUAACUGGAGGACCGAACCGACUAAUGUUGAAAAAUUAGCGGAUGACUUGUGGCUGGGGGUGAAAGGCCAAUCAAACCGGGAGAUAGCUGGUUCUCCCCGAAAGCUAUUUAGGUAGCGCCUCGUGAACUCAUCUUCGGGGGUAGAGCACUGUUUCGGCUAGGGGGUCAUCCCGACUUACCAACCCGAUGCAAACUACGAAUACCGAAGAAUGUUAUCACGGGAGACACACGGCGGGUGCUAACGUCCGUCGUGAAGAGGGAAACAACCCAGACCGCCAGCUAAGGUCCCAAAGUCAUGGUUAAGUGGGAAACGAUGUGGGAAGGCACAGACAGCCAGGAUGUUGGCUUAGAAGCAGCCAUCAUUUAAAGAAAGCGUAAUAGCUCACUGGUCGAGUCGGCCUGCGCGGAAGAUGUAACGGGGCUAAACCAUGCACCGAAGCUGCGGCAGCGACACUAUGUGUUGUUGGGUAGGGGAGCGUUCUGUAAGCCUGCGAAGGUGACCUGUGAGGGUUGCUGGAGGUAUCAGAAGUGCGAAUGCUGACAUAAGUAACGAUAAAGCGGGUGAAAAGCCCGCUCGCCGGAAGACCAAGGGUUCCUGUCCAACGUUAAUCGGGGCAGGGUGAGUCGACCCCUAAGGCGAGGCCGAAAGGCGUAGUCGAUGGGAAACAGGUUAAUAUUCCUGUACUUGGUGUUACUGCGAAGGGGGGACGGAGAAGGCUAUGUUAGCCGGGCGACGGUUGUCCCGGUUUAAGCAUGUAGGCUGGUUAUCCAGGCAAAUCCGGAUAAUCAAGGCUGAGGUGUGAUGACGAGGCACUACGGUGCUGAAGUAACAAAUGCCCUGCUUCCAGGAAAAGCCUCUAAGCAUCAGGUAACAU